UCACAGGUUCCAAGUGCCAAUUCAAACUCUGUGCCCAUUGCUAGGCUUCAGCAAGUUCUACAGACCUCUGCUUUUAACUGCCCAUAACAUGCAGUUCCUAUGGUCCUUGCCUGCUGGCCACUGGUAUGGAUGGAAUGGGCUUCCUAUUACCAGGAGGGGUUACAGAGUGGCAAAAAUCAGUACACAAGACUUAAAAGCUUGACCUCACCACCAAGAAGAAAGACAUCAAAGAAUUAAGCCAGGAGUCAAUUCACUGCAAUGGCAAGGAGUACUUUAAAGCAGAAACCCAGCUUGAAGGGAGACCAUGUCCUUAGAAGGUAUCUGAAGACUUCUUUGUACUGAGCAUGAGCAGAGGUCCACUUCUGGUCAACACUUUGAGUCCACUUCUCAUGGGGUUUCACUGGCUCAUUUGAGUGGAAGCCUGCAAGCCAAACUUUACAGUAGCAACAGUGUAAUUACAUGAUUCUGGACUUGGGGGUGGGGGGGGGUGCCCAAUGUGCCUACCAAUACUCAUACAUCAAAUCUUUGCUCAUGCCUUUCAACUCUCUUUGUGUUAUAAAUGAUUUUUAUGACACAUCUAGUGGGGUUCCUGUUUGAAUAUGAAAUGUCUCCUACAGACUUAUGCUCUAAAACUUAUGGCGGUUGGUCUGGUACUGCUAUGUAUUCAAAUGCUUACUACUGGUC
Molecule: long non-coding RNA, 684 nt
Filed under: Mus spicilegus (steppe mouse)
Lineage: Eukaryota; Metazoa; Chordata; Mammalia; Rodentia; Muridae
Description: lncRNA (ENSMSIG00000032107.1)
Source: RNAcentral